This is a non-coding RNA of Phoenix dactylifera (date palm), 342 nucleotides long. Lineage: Eukaryota; Viridiplantae; Streptophyta; Magnoliopsida; Arecales; Arecaceae. The record is from RefSeq and is a predicted model, not a curated record.
GGUCUCGGAUCCGUGCGGAAAAACCCAAGACCCCUCCUCCGAUUCCUCGCCGGAAAGUCGCCGGAACACCCUCAUCGGGCCGAGGGGAAGAGUCAGCGGUGCCAGGAGGUUUUGAUCAGGGGACUCAGCACCCCAGCUCGUAGGUUGUGAUCCAGAUCUGUAUUUGAGUCUGUCUACAAUUUCGGGGAAGAGUCAGCGGUGCCAGGAGGUUUUGAUCAGGGGACUCAGCACCCCAGCUCGUAGGUUGUGAUCCAGAUCUGUAUUUGAGUCUGUCUACAAUUUCGAGUUGCAGGAUGCAUAGAUUUGGAUGGGAUGGGCGCAGAGUGCGAGUACCAGAGUUAU